CCAGACUCCUACGGGAGGCAGCAGUGGGGAAUAUUGCACAAUGGGGGAAACCCUGAUGCAGCGACGCCGCGUGAGUGAAGAAGUAUUUCGGUAUGUAAAGCUCUAUCAGCAGGGAAGAAAAUGACGGUACCUGACUAAGAAGCCCCGGCUAACUACGUGCCAGCAGCCGCGGUAAUACGUAGGGGGCAAGCGUUAUCCGGAUUUACUGGGUGUAAAGGGAGCGUAGACGGCAGCGCAAGUCUGAAGUGAAAUCCCAUGGCUUAACCAUGGAACUGCUUUGGAAACUGUACGGCUGGAGUGCUGGAGAGGUAAGCGGAAUUCCUAGUGUAGCGGUGAAAUGCGUAGAUAUUAGGAGGAACACCAGUGGCGAAGGCGGCUUACUGGACAGUAACUGACGUUGAGGCUCGAAAGCGUGGGGAGCGAACAGGAUUAGAUACCCCAGUAGUA
RNAcentral lists this ribosomal RNA (447 nucleotides) under uncultured bacterium. Its description in RNAcentral is "bacterial SSU rRNA". It matches the Rfam family "Bacterial small subunit ribosomal RNA", at positions 331 to 795 of the family's 1533-position model. The record is from RNAcentral.